Non-coding RNA from Salvelinus sp. IW2-2015, 217 nucleotides. The record is from RefSeq and is a predicted model, not a curated record. NCBI's taxonomy places the organism in Eukaryota, Metazoa, Chordata, Actinopteri, Salmoniformes, Salmonidae.
AGCUGCUGAGUCUGACCAUGGUCUCUACUGGUGUCAGGGAGAGAUCCAGUCCAGAUCCAUAUCAUCAAKCAUCAGUGAUCCUGUCACUAUCACUGUGAAAGCUCUGCCCACGGCCUCAGUGAAAGCCUCUCCACGCGGUCCCCUCUAUUCUGGAGAGACAGUAACUCUGACGUGUUCAAUGGGGUCUGACAGUGGCUGGAGGUAUACAUGGCAAGGA